GAUCCUGCCAGUAGUCAUAUGCUUGUCUCAAAGAUUAAGCCAUGCAUGUCUAAGUACGAGCUGUGUUUCACACGGCGAGACCGCGGACGGCUCAUUAAAUCAGUCUUUGUCCAAAUGGGCCAGUACCAAACUUGGAUACCCGUGGUAAUUCCAGAGCUAAUACAUGCAACUCAUACCCUGAUGGGAGGCGUACUUAGCGCUUGUCGCUCUGUGCGUUCUCUUUCCUGACGGGUGCUUUUAUUAGACCAAACUGCUGGGGACUGCGUGCGAUUUAUUUCGUACGUGGUCUGGCUCGCACCAUGGUGACUCUGAAUAACCAAUUUUGACGAGCGCACGUACCUCUCUUUCGAGUGGACGGCGCUGCCACUUUCGAGUGUCUGCCUUAUCAGCUGUCAACCGCUCGUUACACGCGACCGAUGGCUUUGACGGGUAACGGGGAAUCAGGGUUCGAUUCCGGAGAGGCAGCCUGAGAGACGGCUACCACGUCCAAGGACGGCAGCAGGCACGCAAAUUACCCAAUCCCAGCAACUGGGGGAGGUAGUGACGAAAUCUAACGAUGCGGGCGCCCUUUCUGGGCCCCGCAAUCGGAAUGAGCACUUUCUAAACAACCUGUUGAGAACCUACUGAAGGGCAAGUCUGGUGCCAGCAGCCGCG
Molecule: ribosomal RNA, 654 nt
Filed under: Aoroides columbiae
Lineage: Eukaryota; Metazoa; Arthropoda; Malacostraca; Amphipoda; Aoridae
Description: bacterial SSU rRNA
Rfam family: Eukaryotic small subunit ribosomal RNA
Source: RNAcentral